This is a transfer RNA of 74 nucleotides. It matches the Rfam family "tRNA". From Rfam's summary of the family: Transfer RNA (tRNA) molecules are approximately 80 nucleotides in length. Their secondary structure includes four short double-helical elements and three loops (D, anti-codon, and T loops). The record is from Rfam.
GCUGGGGUAGGCUAGCUUGGUUAGACUGGGGGACUGUGGAUCCCCCGACGUGGGUUCAAAUCUCGCCCCCGGCC